UACAAUGAGUGUACACUAGGGAG
This 23-nucleotide non-coding RNA is filed under the name Rattus norvegicus (Norway rat). The record is from RNAcentral. Lineage: Eukaryota; Metazoa; Chordata; Mammalia; Rodentia; Muridae.